RNAcentral lists this unclassified non-coding RNA (358 nucleotides) under soil metagenome. RNAcentral's name for it is "partial contains 5.8S ribosomal RNA, internal transcribed spacer 2, and large subunit ribosomal RNA". The stretch from base 1 to 120 matches the Rfam family "5.8S ribosomal RNA", at positions 35 to 154 of the family's 154-position model. The record is from RNAcentral.
GAUGAAGAACGCAGCGAAAUGCGAUAAGUAAUGUGAAUUGCAGAAUUCAGUGAAUCAUCGAAUCUUUGAACGCACAUUGCGCCCGUCAGUAUUCUGGCGGGCAUGCCUGUUCGAGCGUCAUUACGCCCCUCAAGUCCCCUGUGGACUUGGUGUUGGGGAUCGGCGAGGCUGGUUUUCCAGCACAGCCGUCCCUUAAAUUGAUUGGCGGUCUCGCCGUGGCCCUCCUCUGCGCAGUAGUAAAACACUCGCAACAGGAGCCCGGCGCGGUCCACUGCCGCAAAACCCCCCAACUUUUUAUAGUUGACCUCGAAUCAGGUAGGACUACCCGCUGAACUUAAGCAUAUCAAUAAGCGGAGGA